This is a non-coding RNA of Acephala macrosclerotiorum, 91 nucleotides long. NCBI's taxonomy places the organism in Eukaryota, Fungi, Ascomycota, Leotiomycetes, Helotiales, Mollisiaceae. The record is from the annotation of a GenBank genome assembly.
GGUCCCUUAGCUCAGUUGGUUAGAGCGUGGUGCUAAUAUCUCCGUUCACGUUGAUACGCCAAGGUCGCGAGUUCGACCCUCGUAGGGACCA